RNAcentral lists this ribosomal RNA (468 nucleotides) under uncultured bacterium. RNAcentral describes it as "partial 16S ribosomal RNA". It matches the Rfam family "Bacterial small subunit ribosomal RNA", at positions 28 to 507 of the family's 1533-position model. The record is from RNAcentral.
GACGAACGCUGGCGGCGUGCUUAACACAUGCAAGUCGAACGGAAAGGCCCUGCUUUUGUGGGGUGCUCGAGUGGCGAACGGGUGAGUAACACGUGAGUAACCUGCCCUUGACUUUGGGAUAACUUCAGGAAACUGGGGCUAAUACCGGAUAGGAGCUCCUGCUGCAUGGUGGGGGUUGGAAAGUUUCGGCGGUUGGGGAUGGACUCGCGGCUUAUCAGCUUGUUGGUGGGGUAGUGGCUUACCAAGGCUUUGACGGGUAGCCGGCCUGAGAGGGUGACCGGCCACAUUGGGACUGAGAUACGGCCCAGACUCCUACGGGAGGCAGCAGUGGGGAAUAUUGCACAAUGGGCGGAAGCCUGAUGCAGCAACGCCGCGUGCGGGAUGACGGCCUUCGGGUUGUAAACCACUUUCGCCUGUGACGAAGCGUGAGUGACGGUAAUGGGUAAAGAAGCACCGGCUGACUACGUG